UCCUACACCUCAAGCCGGCAAACACUGACUUGUUAUUUUCAAAUAGCUGUUUCUAAAGUACUAAACAAGACUGUUGUUGGAAAAAAAGAGCCAUCUUUUUUUCCCCCACAAGUCGGGGAAAGAAAAUGCUAGGGUAUACAAGGACUUAAUUGUUUGGAUGGUUCAGUCUGUAAUGUUGCCUGAGUUUUCCCAUUGGUCUCCCACAGACGUUUCUGAGGCAUCCAGAAAAAGCUGGAUUGGACUUCUCCUUAUUUUGCAGAAGCAAACUCCCAUCAAGGUAGCAUGAAAUAUUUUAAACAGUCCUUAAAGAAGAGAGAUGUAUCUUAGA
This is a long non-coding RNA of Pantherophis guttatus, 328 nucleotides long. RefSeq lists it as uncharacterized. NCBI's taxonomy places the organism in Eukaryota, Metazoa, Chordata, Lepidosauria, Squamata, Colubridae. The record is from RefSeq and is a predicted model, not a curated record.